GAGAGAGGGAGAGAGAGAGAGAGAGAGAGAGAGAGACAGAGAGAGAGAGAGAGAGAGAGAGAGACCAUAUUGGAAGGAAGAUCAAGGUAGAGAAUGGUUUUGUCGCUUGUUACACCUACAACUCCAGGGCCAAACAAUUUUUGCAGAAGAUAUCUCGAUA
This is a non-coding RNA of Malus domestica (apple), 160 nucleotides long. Lineage: Eukaryota; Viridiplantae; Streptophyta; Magnoliopsida; Rosales; Rosaceae. The record is from RefSeq and is a predicted model, not a curated record.